CCGCCAUGUUACGGCGGGCGGGGCCGUGAGGGCGCGGCGGACUCGUCGGCGGGUCCGUGAGCGGCACGUCCCGCCCCGGGUGUGCAGAGAGGAGCAGGAAGGUUUCCUGUCCCUGGUGGACCCAUCCAGAGCCCAGUGGUGGAGCCUCCAAGGAGAGAUCUCACUGACCAGCCCAGGUGAUCUUUUUCCUUCCACGGCAUAAACACAAACAUCAGGAAACAUGUUUCCACUGUGAGAGUGACAAACACUGGCACAGGCUGCCCAAGGAGGUUGUGGAGUCACCAUCCUUGGAGACACUCUCAAAAGCUGGGUGUGGUUGUGGGCAACCAGUGCUUGGUGGCCCUGCCCGUGACCUCUGGAAGGCCCUGCCUCCCUCAACAGUUCUGUGGUUCUGCGAAAUAAUCAGGGAUCAAACCCACCACCUCCAAAUGUACAGCUUAGCCUUCCUUAUGGGCAAGGACAGGAGUCCUCAGUUUGUCUCUAACUUCAGAAAACCUCCUGUGUUUUAUAUUGAACUUACAUGGUUCUUUCUAUAGUUGCUGCCUAACCUCUAUCUUGCUGGUUAGGAACUCUCCUGUGACUGGAAAGAUUGCGCAGCGAUCACGUCCUGAGGAUGAGAAAGUUAAAUCUGGGGUUUCAGUGUCUUUGCUGCAGACAUGGAGCUGCUGCAGAACAAAUGGCACUGCCCAGUGCUGCACUUCUGAGAGUUACCACUUCCACUCCUUUUUUUGUGGAGCUGAUCGGCAGGUGAAGCUGCUCCCAGAUCCAGUGCUUAAAGGUGAAUGCUAGUGUCUAUUCCUGGGACAUGGUCAGGCAUAUAAAUCCUGAGCUGUUCAAAGCUCUGGCAGGACUGAGGCAUUUCUGAGGAGCUGCACAAGGAGAAGUUCACAUGCCCCAAGACCAAGCAUGCUGCUGGUACAGUCAGGUGCUCCCAAGGUUAGCACAGCAGAGGGGAGUUGCAACUUUGAUUUUUGAUGCCUAAAUUGUAUUAAAACUUCAAUUUUGAUACCCAAAUCCUCAUUUAGAUCUAUCCCAAAGUGGUAAUUCCACCGGGAAGGUCCCUGGGAGGGCUUCGUGGCAGAUUUCUUGUGUUUGGCACUUGGUGCAGUGAACUGUGAUUUCAAACAUGAAGACAAGGAGAGGGAAGGUAGGUUAAUCCACACCCAUUCUGAGAAGGUUUAAAGCUCUUGUUGGCCAAAAGGGGAGCUUAAAAGGUAUUCAGGAGUCAUCCUGUUUCCCUGCUGACAAAUGCAAUGUAAUGUUUGUGUGAAAACAGCUCUGACACAUGGGCUUGGAAGCACAGCCUGAUUUGUAUCAGUGCAUUCCUGAAGGAAUAAACCUACUAACCACAACUCAGAAAAACAAGCAAGAUGCUACUGACAAAAAGUUAAGACAGAUUUUUCCAUUAGAAGCUGAAGUUUUAUUACAGGAUAACAGUACAUAAAGCACAUCUAAAAUCGAUGUGUUCAAUGCACUUAAUAAAGGUAAUGUAAUAUUAAAGGUACAGUUUCUAAGUACAAUAUAACAACAUUCAUAUUAGAAUGAAAAU
Lepidothrix coronata (blue-crowned manakin) is the source of this 1549-nucleotide long non-coding RNA. RefSeq lists it as uncharacterized. The record is from RefSeq and is a predicted model, not a curated record. The transcript is spliced from 3 exons. NCBI's taxonomy places the organism in Eukaryota, Metazoa, Chordata, Aves, Passeriformes, Pipridae.